RNAcentral lists this ribosomal RNA (433 nucleotides) under uncultured bacterium. RNAcentral's name for it is "partial 16S ribosomal RNA". It matches the Rfam family "Bacterial small subunit ribosomal RNA", at positions 29 to 507 of the family's 1533-position model. The record is from RNAcentral.
AACGAACGCUGGCGGCAGGCUUAACACAUGCAAGUCGAACGCACCUUUCGGGGUGAGUGGCAGACGGGUGAGUAACGCGUGGGAAUCUACCCUUCUCUACGGGAUAGCUCCGGGAAACUGGAAUUAAUACCGUAUACGUCCUGAGGGAGAAAGAUUUAUCGGGGAAGGAUGAGCCCGCGUUGGAUUAGCUAGUUGGUGGGGUAAAGGCCUACCAAGGCGACGAUCCAUAGCUGGUCUAAGAGGAUGAUCAGCCACAUUGGGACUGAGACACGGCCCAAACUCCUACGGGAGGCAGCAGUGGGGAAUAUUGGACAAUGGGCGCAAGCCUGAUCCAGCCAUGCCGCGUGAGUGAUGAAGGCCCUAGGGUUGUAAAGCUCUUUCAGUGGGGACGAUAAUGACGGUACCCACAGAGGAAGCCCCGGCUAACUUCGUG